UGGGGAAUAUUGGACAAUGGGCGAAAGCCUGAUCCAGCCAUGCCGCGUGUGUGAAGAAGGUCUUCGGAUUGUAAAGCACUUUAAGUUGGGAGGAAGGGCAGUAAGCGAAUACCUUGCUGUUUUGACGUUACCGACAGAAUAAGCACCGGCUAACUCUGUGCCAGCAGCCGCGGUAAUACAGAGGGUGCAAGCGUUAAUCGGAAUUACUGGGCGUAAAGCGCGCGUAGGUGGUUCGUUAAGUUGAAUGUGAAAGCCCCGGGCUCAACCUGGGAACUGCAUCCAAAACUGGCGAGCUAGAGUAGGGCAGAGGGUGGUGGAAUUUCCUGUGUAGCGGUGAAAUGCGUAGAUAUAGGAAAGAACACCAGUGGCGAAGGCGACCACCUGGGCUCAUACUGACACUGAGGUGCGAAAGCGGGGGGAGCAAACAGG
RNAcentral lists this ribosomal RNA (429 nucleotides) under Pseudomonadota bacterium. RNAcentral's name for it is "Proteobacteria bacterium partial 16S ribosomal RNA". It matches the Rfam family "Bacterial small subunit ribosomal RNA", at positions 355 to 776 of the family's 1533-position model. Lineage: Bacteria; Pseudomonadati; Pseudomonadota. The record is from RNAcentral.